Aedes aegypti (yellow fever mosquito) is the source of this 445-nucleotide long non-coding RNA. RefSeq lists it as uncharacterized. Lineage: Eukaryota; Metazoa; Arthropoda; Insecta; Diptera; Culicidae. The transcript has 2 exons. The record is from RefSeq and is a predicted model, not a curated record.
ACAUUUAAGUUGAACAACAAAACCGUGACAGUCUCGCCCAUCAAAGAACCAAUCGAGACUUAUUGUUUAAAACUGGAGAAAAACUUCAAGAACUUAAGGAGCAGAUCGAAAGGAACUUGGAAAGUCCCAUGAAAAGAACCUUCCCUCUCGAAACGACAGAAGAUGUCAAAGAAACAGCUGUUAAAGUCCAGGAUCAUCACCAUACGACCCACAUCAAAAGGGAGAUUGCAUAUGCUUUAAGUAACGUUGCAAAAGAUGAUUGACUUCGUGCUAUUUUGACGGACAAUGCGACGAAUGAAUACAAAAGAGCGGAUGAAAUAAGAAACAUUAAUUUCGUUCGUCUUAUUAUCAAUAAUAUCACCCUUACUUCAGAAAAGAUAUUUACGGGCAUGGUUUCCGCAGCUAAAGGAAGGAUUUACAAAAAGCAUCGUAGGGAAACUAAAAA